CAUGCCUUGGCAAGACUAUACGAUAAAGCCUUUAAAACUGUAUUUAUUACUAUGAAUAGUUUAUUACAUUCGUACUUGCAGCAAUAAUUUCUCAUUAAGUGCUGAACCAGUUUCUAUUUUCUUUUUCUUGAAUUUGAAUCAGUAUUAGAAGCAUAGGCUGACAAAAAGGCAGAAUAAUUAUGUGAAAAGCAAUUCCCAUUUAAAGAACCGUUGAAAUACUAUCAUGAAACAAGAGUCAGAGUGAUGCUUAUUGUUCCUAGUCUGCUAACUACACUGAGAAAUACAUGGCUGAAGAAAGGACGUCCCCAAAACUUUUGCUUGCCUCUGGACUGACAAUUCAUAGACCUCUCCAGUUUUUCAGUGAUUUUGCUCAUCCUACUCCUACACAGGUUGGUUGUUGUGUUUCCUGGCUUAGGAUAGAGGCAACAAAUGUUGUCUGACACCACACUAUACAAAAGACUACAUCUCCCACUGCUUCCAAGCUAACUGGACUCCUGGAAAUUCCAGAAAUACCCUCCUAUCCCCUUCCAUGGAUUUUCUUCUGCAGGGUAAGACUGCUCUUAAUUUACCCACUCAUUUCACUUUGAUUCUCAGCUUUUAAGAUACAUUUCUCUAUGAAAGAUUGUUGAGCUCUGUGCAUGAGGGCAGGAGAUCCGGGCAUAUUUACAGCAGAAGAUGGUAUGGCUCAUCUCUAUAAAUCUCUAUAUGAGCCAGAGGCACUGCAUGGCAGAGUGUGUGCAAGGAUAGCAUGUGAGUAAUAACUCUGUUCCCUUUCAGAGGCUCCUGCUUAGAAAGGAUCAGACCUCAAGAGGAGUCUGGAUAACCUUACAGAUCCAUUAGGAUACUGUCUUAAGGAAGAGACGGGUCUCACACUGUUCUCUGAAAGCUGCAGACAGGAAAUUUAUUGUGCUGAUGCCACUACUGAGUGCCAAAAAUGGCAAUGGACACUUGAGUUGACACAGUCUCCAAGGUGGAGCCAAGCACAGCCAGGUGCAGUGGUUGAGAAGCUCCUGUUGCCAGUCAGCUGCCUGAGGGGGCUGAACCAUCGGGCCAGUGAAGCACUCUUAUAGCUGCUGUUCAUCUUAGUGGAUGAUGCUGGGGACACAGUGCACAGUACAGUAUGGUGGAGAUGAAACAAUUAGUAUUUAACUUUGGGCAGCAAAGAGUACAGACGAGGCACAAAGUUCUGCUACCAAAUAAAAGGGAAGACAAGGAGUACUGAAAUUCAGUGACUGGCCUGAGUCUGCUUGGUGCCUUGAUGUAAUGACUUCAGUGGAAAAAAAAAAAAGUCUCAGCACUGAGUAAGGUCUAUGGGAGGCCAAAAAAGAACUUCAUAAGACCCGCAUUCUUCACAGCUGGAAGACUGUAAUCUGGAGAGUUACUGUUCAAAACCAGAUAUUCUGCAUGGCACAGAGUAGGUCACUUUGAAGCUCCCUCCACUCAUGUUACAUCAGCAGCUUGAGAAAAGUGGCUGUAUCAGAGGCUUCAAAGAGGUAAAACAUUCAGCACCUUGAGCAGGAAGAUGAGGGUGAAGAAAGGCAGAAGACUUUCAUAGAGAGCCCUUUGGUCUGCUUUGGCUGUCAAGUCUACUGCCAAAGUUAGUUUCUGGAAAGUGUUGAUGAAGACUGAAAUUAGCUGCCUUGGAAAUCAAAUCUUUUAACC
This 1662-nucleotide long non-coding RNA is filed under the name Gallus gallus (chicken). RNAcentral's name for it is "lncRNA (ENSGALG00010006698.1)". Lineage: Eukaryota; Metazoa; Chordata; Aves; Galliformes; Phasianidae. The record is from RNAcentral.